GGCCGCGAAUUCGCCCUUAGGGUUUGAUUAUGGCUCAGAUUGAACGCUGGCGGCAGGCCUAACACAUGCAAGUCGAGCGGUAGCACAAGAGAGCUUGCUCUCUGGGUGACGAGCGGCGGACGGGUGAGUAAUGUCUGGGAAACUGCCCGAUGGAGGGGGAUAACCACUGGAAACGGUGGCUAAUACCGCAUAACGUCUACGGACCAAAGAGGGGGACCUUCGGGCCUCUUGCCAUCGGAUGUGCCCAGAUGGGAUUAGCUAGUAGGUGGGGUAACGGCUCACCUAUGC
RNAcentral lists this ribosomal RNA (288 nucleotides) under uncultured bacterium. Its description in RNAcentral is "partial 16S ribosomal RNA". It matches the Rfam family "Bacterial small subunit ribosomal RNA", at positions 1 to 274 of the family's 1533-position model. The record is from RNAcentral.